This 312-nucleotide non-coding RNA is filed under the name Solanum tuberosum (potato). RNAcentral's name for it is "Bacterial small subunit ribosomal RNA". It matches the Rfam family "Bacterial small subunit ribosomal RNA", at positions 599 to 867 of the family's 1533-position model. The record is from Rfam by way of RNAcentral. Lineage: Eukaryota; Viridiplantae; Streptophyta; Magnoliopsida; Solanales; Solanaceae.
AUGCCUGAUGGCUGAUGCUGUUUGCAUAUUAUAGAUUUCUAUCCCCGAGGCCAAGACAUUAUAUAUAUCACCAAUUCACUUGAGUGAGACAGAGGAGAGUGGAAUUUCUUGUGUAGGGGGGUGAAUUCUGGAGAUCUACAAAGGAAUGCCAAAAGCAAAGGCAGCUCUCUGGGCCCCUACUCCCUACCGACGCUGAGGUGCAAAAGCAUGGGGCAAAAACAGGAUUAGAUACCCUGGUAGUCCAUGUUGUAAACAUAUCACAUCUAGGGUUUGUGCGCACAAGCUGACUCGCACACCACUGCUAAGAAAAGU